This 551-nucleotide ribosomal RNA is filed under the name uncultured bacterium. RNAcentral's name for it is "bacterial SSU rRNA". It matches the Rfam family "Bacterial small subunit ribosomal RNA", at positions 774 to 1324 of the family's 1533-position model. The record is from RNAcentral.
AGGAAAUAGAUACCCGGGUAGUCCACGCCCUAAACGAUGUCUACUAGUUGUCGGGGAUUCAUUUCCUUGGUAAACGCAGCUAAACGCGUGAAAGUAGACCGCCUGGGGAGUACGGCCGCAAGGUUAAAACUCAAAGGAAUUGACGGGGACCCGCACAAGCGGUGGAUGAUGUGGAUUAAUUCGAUGCAACGCGAAAAAACCUUACCUACGCUUGACAUGCCAGGAACUUUCCAGAGAUGGAUUGGUGCCCGAAAGGGAACUUGGACACAGGUGCUGCAUGGCUGUCGUCAGCUCGUGUCGUGAGAUGUUGGGUUAAGUCCCGCAACGAGCGCAACCCUUAUCCUUAGUUGCUACGCAAGGGCACUCUAGGGAGACUGCCGGUGACAAACCGGAGGAAGGUGGGGAUGACGUCAAGUCCUCAUGGCCCUUAUGUGUAGGGCUUCACACGUCAUACAAUGGUCGGUACAGAGGGUCGCCAACCCGGCGAGGGGUAGCCAAUCCCAGAAAACCGAUCGUAGUCCGGAUUGCAGUCUGCAACUCGACUGCAUGAA